GCAGCGGUGUCUCAGUGGUUAAGGCUCAGGUUAUUGAUCAGAUGGUUGUAGGUUCGAACCCCAGCACUGCUGCC
This is a non-coding RNA of Pangasianodon gigas (Mekong giant catfish), 74 nucleotides long. NCBI's taxonomy places the organism in Eukaryota, Metazoa, Chordata, Actinopteri, Siluriformes, Pangasiidae. The record is from the annotation of a GenBank genome assembly.